RNAcentral lists this long non-coding RNA (1592 nucleotides) under Olea europaea subsp. europaea. Lineage: Eukaryota; Viridiplantae; Streptophyta; Magnoliopsida; Lamiales; Oleaceae. The record is from RNAcentral.
CUAUCAAGUAUUGUCACUACUUGCAGGUGUUCCUUCUAGAUCAAAACUUGUUGAUCAAGGCUCUUUGACCAUCUCAGGUCUGCAUCUCACUGUGAUCGCAUUUACAAAGGUGAGUUUCUUCACUGAUAAGAAGGAGGUUCAGAGAUCUUCGACCGCCUAGGGAUAUAUAGCACACGUGCGUUAUUCCUCCUUGCUUGGCAUAAUUUUAUCAACUUAUAUAUCUUUUCAAGCAUAAUUUGCUUGAGUUGCGAUGAAUUGUGAUAGAACAUCUAAAAUAAGUGGGGAGUUGUUAUACAUUAUCACUUUUGUCAUCAACUUGGCACUUAGUUUACACCUAUUUUGGAUUUCAGUGAUCUUUAUUGGAUUUUUGCAUUCCUGCAGGCAUUAGCUAAUUGCCAGAGCACUAAUUGUAAUUCAAUAUCUAUUAAUCCUGGUGGCUUGUUAUUUAUGUAGGCUGUCUCACUCAUUGCUUCUUAUUUACUAGUUCCUUUGCAUUAUCCUUUAUGGCUAGGAGGUUCUCGAUCAUAUAUACGUGAUUAUGCACCUGCAAUUGAUCAUUCAAUGUCCAGUUCAGACUCUUAUUCAGUAAGUUUGACAAGUUUGAAGCCGGUAGAAUUCCCUCUCUUUAUAGAAGGACAAACUUCACAAGAGCAGCUUAUGCUAUGUUCUUGUUAAAUAAGGUGUGUACCACUUCUUAAUUUUUUAGUGUGUCGAACCAUAUUGGAACAUCUUCAUAAUUUUUGGAGUAUUAUAAGACAAUCUACUAAUGAUCUUACAUAAAUUUUCUGUUAUACAGGGCUUAGAGUUUGGCAUAUAAAUUUUUCUUGUUAAUUUUGUACCGUCCCCAUUUUUGUGCUUUUGCUCAUGAGUGUUGAUUCUUUUACUGAUGUGUAGAUCUAGAUGGUGGUGUUAGCUCAUUACUCAGCUUUUGAAUUUUUCUGUACCUAUCCUUCAGUAGAUAUUCUUACUUAAAUUAAGCGGAAGAUUUUUCUAGACUAUAGUUACAAAAGUAAUUUGUUAAAACAAUGAUAUUAUCUAUUUUUUGUAGCUGCAUUUGAUUAUGGAGAGGAUCUCUGGUGUAGGUGAUGAAUGUUAUACCAACAUUUAUAUUCUUCAAUCCACCAACAUGAUUUUUAUUAAAUACGAAACUGUAUAACUAAACUGUUAUAGAUGACAUUGGAUUUAUUCAUAUCCAGUUUCAAUUUCUGCACAUAGGUUGGAAUUGACUUCAUCACAAAUUAUAUUGCUAUUUCUGUGCCAUGUCGAUGACCUUUUCUAUGUUAAUCAACGACCUUUUUAUAGGAUUUAGAGCAGCUUCUGAAUUUUAUUGGAGUGAAGAGCUUAGGGCCACGCUUUGUUCUUGCUAAUUUGAAGGAGCUUUUGAGGACUAUCCUUUCUUUAGAAUAUAUAGAGAUGUAAGUUUGAAAUGUUAGAAUUGAUUGUUAAUUUCUGUAAAUGGACUGAUUGUAUUCUAAUUUCUUAUAGAGCUGCCAAUUUUUUAAGAAGCACCUUGGCAUAAAUCUUGGUCCAUUUGUUGGAUAAUGCAAAUCAUGGUCGUUAAGAAUAAUCCAAUUUUGAUUUUCUUUUUCUGA